GGUCGGCUCCACAACUGAUAGGGCUUUCAGUUAGGACAGGUAGAGGAAAAAGGACGCUGUGCUAGGAGGAGACUCUAUGGUGGGGGGGAUCAGCCA
Molecule: non-coding RNA, 96 nt
Organism: Notechis scutatus (mainland tiger snake)
Lineage: Eukaryota; Metazoa; Chordata; Lepidosauria; Squamata; Elapidae
Source: RefSeq, a predicted model, not a curated record